CGGAGGGGAAACACCCGGUCCCAUUCCGAACCCGGAAGUUAAGCCCUCCAGCGCCGAUGGUACUGCAUGGGAGACUGUGUGGGAGAGUAGGACACCGCCGGAC
RNAcentral lists this ribosomal RNA (103 nucleotides) under Actinomadura violacea. Lineage: Bacteria; Bacillati; Actinomycetota; Actinomycetes; Streptosporangiales; Thermomonosporaceae. The record is from RNAcentral.